This 440-nucleotide ribosomal RNA is filed under the name uncultured bacterium. Its description in RNAcentral is "partial 16S ribosomal RNA". It matches the Rfam family "Bacterial small subunit ribosomal RNA", at positions 338 to 795 of the family's 1533-position model. The record is from RNAcentral.
CCUACGGGUGGCAGCAGUGGGGGAUAUUGCACAAUGGGGGGAACCCUGAUGCAGCGACGCCGCGUGGGUGAAGAAGGGCCUCGGCGCGUAAAGCCCUGUCAGCAGGGAAGAAAAUGACGGUACCUGAAGAAGAAGCCCUGGCUAACUCCGUGCCAGCAGCCGCGGUAAUACGUAGGGGACAAGCGUUAUCCGGAUUUACUGGGUGUAAAGGGGGCGUAGACGGCGAUGCAAGGCAGGAGUGAAUGCCCGGGGCCCAACCCCGGGACUGCUCUUGGAACUGCGUGGCGAGAGUGCAGGAGGGGCAGGCGGAAUUCCUGGUGUAGCGGUGAAAUGCGUAGAUAUCAGGAGGAACACCGGUGGCGAAGGCGGCCUGCUGGACUGCAACUGACGUUGAGGCCCGAAAGCGUGGGGAGCAAACAGGAUUAGAUACCCCAGUAGUC